Molecule: ribosomal RNA, 465 nt
Filed under: uncultured bacterium
Lineage: Bacteria
Description: partial 16S ribosomal RNA
Rfam family: Bacterial small subunit ribosomal RNA
Source: RNAcentral
CCUACGGGGAGCAGCAGUGGGGAAUAUUGCGCAAUGGGCGAAAGCCUGACGCAGCGACGCCGCGUGAGGGAUGAAGGUCUUCGGAUCGUAAACCUCUGUCAGCAGGGAAGAACGGUCACUGUGCUAAUCAGCAGUGAAUUGACGGUACCUGCAAAGGAAGCACCGGCUAACUCCGUGCCAGCAGCCGCGGUAAUACGGAGGGUGCGAGCGUUAAUCGGAAUUACUGGGCGUAAAGCGCUCGUAGGCGGUAUGUCAAGUCAAGGGUGAAAUCCCCGCGCUCAACGUGGGAACUGCCUUUGAAACUGGCAAACUGGAGUGUGUGAGAGGAUAGUGGAAUGCCAGGUGUAGGAGUGAAAUCCGUAGAUAUCUGGAGGAACAUCAGUGGCGAAGGCGACUAUCUGGAACAUAACUGACGCUGAGGAGCGAAAGCGUGGGUAGCAAACAGGAUUAGAUACCCCUGUAGUC